RNAcentral lists this transfer RNA (73 nucleotides) under Anolis acutus. Its description in RNAcentral is "tRNA-Trp". The record is from RNAcentral. Lineage: Eukaryota; Metazoa; Chordata; Lepidosauria; Squamata; Anolidae.
UAAAAACUUAGGAUAAAAUAAUAAACCAAGAGCCUUCAAAGUCCAAAAUAAGGGCGCAAUCCCCUUAGUUUUU